AGAGACCGGUUAACCCUGGAGCCCAGCGAUAUUUUCAAACGUGUAUAGAGUUCCUCUACUUACGAUAGGGCUGCCCCCUCCCCGCAAUAAACCCAUCGUAAGUUGAAAAUAUCAUAAUUUGUCGAGUUAUAGUUACAUCAGAAUUUAUUCAGACUAGGUAAUUUUCACGUUAAAGGAAACAUGACUUGUAGUUUAACAAUUUGAUGUCAAAAAACCCCACUGACUUAAAACCCAGUGAAGGAUUACUAUAGCUCAAAGACUGAAAAAAUAAAAAAACUUUCCUGCCAGGUUUGAGCAUAGGAAAUCAUGUAUGCGAGACAAAGUACGAAACGGAAGAAACCAUGUUUGCUCAUUCUGUUGCCAGCGAAAUUUCACAAAGCCCCUGACUCAGUGACUGAACGCAGUCCUCCAGAAGAAUGCCCUGAAGACAAUAAGUAGGAUAGAGCACAAGUUUUCACAUCUGUUGCUUGAAUCACUUCAUUUUUUAAAAAGAUACAGUCAGCGAUCCUAGCUCUUGCCUCUUCCUGUACGUAAGAUAACGUGUGACAGGAUUAAUGAUUAUGCCUCUGUAAUCUAUAACCAGAUGUAGUCUCCAAACAAAACUUUGAUGAGAUUUUGCUCCAACGUAACUUCUGAGCACGUUUAAUGUAACUUUUGAGCACAUGCAGAACUCCAUCCCUUGAUGUAGAAACUGGGGGCAGAACAGCUGCUUUGGACCAGUAUAACAUAAACUCUUUGAAAGACUCUCCAGGGUUGCAUUCCUCAGUAAGACUCCGAAUAAAACUAACUUUGAGUCUUUAAAAGCCUGAUUUUUUUCUUUAGUUGACAUGUAUAUAAAAUGAGAUCACCUUUACACCUUUUGUGAAUAAAGGAAUCUAAGCCUGGUGCUGUGGCUCACACCUCUAAUCCUAACAUUUUGGGAGGCCACAGUGGAAGGAUUGUCUGAGCCCAGGAAUUCAAGACCAGCCUGGGC
RNAcentral lists this long non-coding RNA (973 nucleotides) under Homo sapiens (human). RNAcentral's name for it is "HSALNT0348474". Lineage: Eukaryota; Metazoa; Chordata; Mammalia; Primates; Hominidae. The record is from RNAcentral.